Molecule: ribosomal RNA, 1284 nt
Filed under: metagenome
Description: SSU rRNA
Rfam family: Eukaryotic small subunit ribosomal RNA
Source: RNAcentral
CUUCGAGUCCGGCAAUUGGAAUGAGUACAAUUUAAACCCCUUAACGAGGAUCAAUUAGAGGGCAAGUCUGGUGCCAGCAGCCGCGGUAAUUCCAGCUCUAAUAGCGUAUAUUAAAGUUGUUGCGGUUAAAAAGCUCGUAGUUGGAUUUUGGUGCCUCUCUGGGCGGGCGUCAAAAGGCGCUCCGUGCCGGGGGGGCUCUUCUGUCUGGAGACCGCCGGCAUCCUCUUCACUGAGGUGUCGGCGGGAUCUAGGACUUUUACUUUGAACAAAUUAGAGUGCUCAAAGCAGGCAUCCGCCUUGAAUAUGUUAGCAUGGAAUAACCGAAUAGGACUUUGGUUCUAUUUUGUUGGUUUAAGAGCCGAAGUAAUGAUUAAUAGGGACAGUUGGGGGCAUUAAUAUUUAAUUGUCAGAGGUGAAAUUCUUAGAUUUAUGAAAGAUUAACUACUGCGAAAGCAUUUGCCAAGGAUGUUUUCAUUAAUCAAGAACGAAAGUUAGGGGAUCGAAGACGAUCAGAUACCGUCGUAGUCUUAACCAUAAACUAUGCCGACUAGGGAUUGGAAGAUGUUAUUUUCAUGACUCCUUCAGCACCUUAUGAGAAAUCAAAGUCUUUGGGUUCCGGGGGGAGUAAGGUCGCAAGGCUGAAACUUAAAGGAAUUGACGGAAGGGCACCACCAGGAGUGGAGCCUGCGGCUUAAUUUGGCUCAACACGGGAAAACUUACCAGGUCCAGACAUAGCGAGGAUUGACAGAUUGAGAGCUCUUUCUUGAUUCUAUGGGUGGUGGUGCAUGGCCGUUCUUAGUUGGUGGAGUGAUUUGUCUGCUUAAUUGCGAUAACGAACGAGACCUUAACCUGCUAAAUAGUUACGCGAAUCUUAGCAUUCGCGGCCAACUUCUUAGAGGGACUUUUGCGUGUUUUAACCAAAGGAAGUUUGAGGCAAUAACAGGUCUGUGAUGCCCUUAGAUGUUCUGGGCCGCACGCGCGCUACACUGACGGAUUCAGCGAGUUUAUAACCUUGACCGGAAGGUCUGGGUAAUCUUUUAACGUUCGUCGUGAUGGGGCUUGUUCUUUGUAAUUCUAGAACAUCAACGAGGAAUUCCUAGUAAGUGCAAGUCAUCAGCUUGCAUUGAUUACGUCCCUGCCCUUUGUACACACCGCCCGUCGCUCCUACCGAUUGAAUGACCCGGUGAGGCUUUUGGACUGGCCUGUGGCUAGUGGCGACACUACUGCAGGCCGGGAAGACAUCCUAACCUUGCCAUUUAGAGGAAGGAGAAGUCGUAACAAGGU